Molecule: non-coding RNA, 66 nt
Submitted as: unclassified sequences
Source: Rfam
AUAAUGAUACUUCUAACAGUUGAAGCCGGCUCAUCUUGAAAAGGGGCGGAGGUGAAAUUCCUAUGU